Molecule: ribosomal RNA, 434 nt
Filed under: uncultured bacterium
Lineage: Bacteria
Description: bacterial SSU rRNA
Rfam family: Bacterial small subunit ribosomal RNA
Source: RNAcentral
GCUAAACGCGAAGAACCUUACCAGGCCUUGACAUGCAGAGAACUUUCCAGAGAUGGAUUGGUGCCUUCGGGAACUCUGACACAGGUGCUGCAUGGCUGUCGUCAGCUCGUGUCGUGAGAUGUUGGGUUAAGUCCCGUAACGAGCGCAACCUUGUCCUUAGUUACCAGCACGUUAUGGUGGGCACUCUAAGGAGACUGCCGGUGACAAACCGGAGGAAGGUGGGGAUGACGUCAAGUCAUCAUGGCCUUACGGCCUGGGCUACACACGUAGCUACAAUGGUCGGUACAGAGGGUUGCCAAGCCGCGAGGUGGAGCUAAUCUCACAAAACCGAUCGUAGUCCGGAUCGCAGUCUGCAACUCGACUGCGUGAAGUCGGAAUCGCUAGUAAUCGCGAAUCAGAAUGUCGCGGUGAAUACGUUCCCGGGUCUUGUACAC